Peromyscus leucopus (white-footed mouse) is the source of this 2688-nucleotide long non-coding RNA. RefSeq lists it as uncharacterized. The record is from RefSeq and is a predicted model, not a curated record. Lineage: Eukaryota; Metazoa; Chordata; Mammalia; Rodentia; Cricetidae. The transcript is spliced from 3 exons.
UUAGAACACAGUUCCGGGUUUCUGGCGCGGGCUCUGAAGCGGGAGCCUAGUCCCUGGCUGCAACCCAAGGCCCUGCUGCUCUCUCCCUCUGAGGGGGAUUUGUUCAGACCCUGACAAUCUGACUGUAUGGCUUCGAGAGGUUGGGUUUUGUUUCCUAAAGUUGCCCUUCCAACUCUCUCCCUGAUUAUUAAAUGACUAAAGCUGUAAAACGGAACUGCAAAGUUCUGCAGCGUCUGGGAUACCUCACCUCAGAACAAAUUUAAAAAUUCGAGAAGUACUGAUCCAAAUUCACACCAAAUAACUCUUUAAGAUUCGUGCUACAGGCCUUUUGCCAAGAAGAUACAUAAAUGACCAACAAAUGCAUAGAAAGGCCCCGGCAUGAGUCAAGAAGACAUAAUUAUACUAUAGCUGCAUCAAAAAAGGAGCAACAUAGUAUCACUGGUGAGCAUUUGGAGAAACUGGAAACCUCAGACAUUCCUUUUGGAAAUAUAAAGUGAUGGAGGAUUAUGGAAAAUAGUCAAAAAUGUAAGCCUAGAAUUACCAUACAGCCUAGCAAUUCUACUCCUGAAUAUAUACAAGUGUUCCUUGUUUGUGUUUUUAUGUCUUAGACUCCAAAAUAAUUCUAAAUUUCUCAUUGUUAUGAGAAGCAUGAUGAAAUAUCAUACUGCCCUGUUCCAUCCCACCCAAAAUGUGAGGCACCCCCUUGUCUACCAGCUCCACACCACAUAUUCUGCCUUCCCACUCAGUCCUUAGCUGCCUUGGUUAUAAGACAAAUUUUUGUGGUAUCACUUUGGUCAAGUAACCCUUAUGUAAUAAUAGCCUAACACUAUAUCACAAAGUCUGUGCCCUUCGCCUCAUGUUAUUUCAUCAUGCAUGUGUGCACUGUAUCCAUUCACAUCAUUAUAAGAAGGGUAAUUGCAUUAAGGAAGUAUGAUGAGAGAGACCACAUCCACAUAACUUCCUGGAAUAUAUUAUUAUAAUCAAUGUUUUAUCAUUUUUGUUAAUUUAUUACUAUUCCUGGUUUACGAGUUAAAGUUUUUCAGAUAUUUAUAAAUAUCAAAGCUACAGUAGAGGAAACCCUGGUACAAAUAGGAGUCAGUAUUGUUUGAAGUUUCAUUCAGACUUCCACUGAAGGUCUUCCAAUGUGUUGCUCACAGAUCAUGGAGGGGGGAACAGAGAGGACACUACUCCAUACCAGAGAGAAAGGAAAACAAAACACUUUUUCAGCAUUACUGUUUACUAUGGAAACCCACAGAGGCUUCCUAAUGAGACCUUACUCACAGUCCAAGAAUCUGAGCUUGCUUUACCUAGCAGCGCUGCAUAAUGGAAUGAUUUGGCCAUGGGCAUGGUUACCAGGUGUUUUGAAGGGUCUAUGCUUGACUGUACGUGUGCUUUGAUCUCAAAAGGGGAAGGUCUUUUGCCUAGUCCCUUGGUAUUCUAUAAAAAAGCCCUUUGGAAUAAACCUUGGGGUGACUGGGUGUUGACCCAGGGACCUCCUGAAGCUGUCCUGUGUCUCUGUCGUUCUUAUCCUCUCUUUCUAUUAUUUUCUCAUUCCUCCCUCCUCCCCCUCAAGAACCCUUCAACAGGUCAGAGCUAGACUCCGACAGACCCCCACAGUUUACAAAACUGAAAACAAUAUCUAUCCAUUAAGGAAUAGAUAAAAUAUAGCUCACCCAUCCCAUGGGAUAUUAUUCACCUGAAAUAAUGAUUGAAGCAGUUGCUUAACAUAUCAAGGGUGGGAUCUUUACAAUGCUAUGUUUAUGGAGAAGAAAGUCAUGAAAGCUUAGCUGUUGUACUUCUACUCAAAGGUAUAUGGGUCAACUCAGGCUGAUGUCCCAUACACUAGGUGACUUGAACAAAGAAUAUUCUCCAAGUUCUGGAAGCUGAGAAGUACCAGAGAAGGCACUGAGAGUGCUUUCAGUGAGAAUGUCUUCCUGACCUUCCCUCAGUGCUUGUCCAGAGAGAGAGAGAGACCUCUGGUGACUCAUCUUAGUGUUACAUUUGUGACCUUAUUCUACUAUAAUUAACUCCUCUGUGUCCCUAUGUCUAAAGACAGACUUGUUAGGGAUUAGGAGUUUAACAAGUGAAGUUGGGGAUUAUAGACAAACUCAUCUCAGUUCAUAACAGUUUUAAAUACCUAGAAAAGGCAAACUCAGAGACCUGGAAAAACAAAUUGUUGGCUGCUAAGGGGUGGGUAGGCAGGGAGGACAGGGAGUGAGCACACUGCCUCAUUUUUUGGUUGAAGGGAGUAUUCAGGAGGUAGGUAAUAGAUGACUACAUGGCAGUGUGGCUGUUGGAGAUGCUAGUGGGUCAGAAAAGAGCAAUUUUUGACUAGGAUGUGGAGGACUUGCAAAUCUCUUACUCUGUUGAUGGAAAUAUAAAAUGUUACAGCCAUUCUGAAAAACAGUCAAAAGAUCUUCAAAAAGACAAUCUAGUAUCAUUAGUUCCUGAAUCUAGUAUAAGACCACCAGUUCCAACUCCCACGUCUAGGUAUGUUUCAUCAAAAUGAAAGCAUAUGUAGUAAUUAUUUGCAAGAUCCUGAAGAGGAGAACAAGCAGAUAUUUAUUAAUUUAUGAAUCUAUAAACAAUGGAUGGGUAUGGUGUGGAAUAAACCUUCUGUACGUUGUGAAUACAUGUUGCUCUCAUUGGUUAAUAAGCUGACAGGCUGGUAGCUGGGCAGGAAGUGUA